Molecule: ribosomal RNA, 194 nt
Filed under: uncultured bacterium
Lineage: Bacteria
Description: partial 16S ribosomal RNA
Rfam family: Bacterial small subunit ribosomal RNA
Source: RNAcentral
CCUACGGGAGGCAGCAGUGGGGAAUAUUGCACAAUGGGCGCAAGCCUGAUGCAGCCAUGCCGCGUGUAUGAAGAAGGCCUUCGGGUUGUAAAGUACUUUCAGUCGUGAGGAAGGCGUUGUAGUUAAUAGCUGCAUCGUUUGACGUUAGCGACAGAAGAAGCACCGGCUAACUCCGUGCCAGCAGCCGCGGUAAU